AUGUGGUUUAAUUCGAAGCAACGCGAAGAACCUUACCAGGUCUUGACAUCCUCUGACAACUCUAGAGAUAGAGCGUUCCCCUUCGGGGGACAGAGUGACAGGUGGUGCAUGGUUGUCGUCAGCUCGUGUCGUGAGAUGUUGGGUUAAGUCCCGCAACGAGCGCAACCCUUGAUCUUAGUUGCCAGCAUUUAGUUGGGCACUCUAAGGUGACUGCCGGUGACAAACCGGAGGAAGGUGGGGAUGACGUCAAAUCAUCAUGCCCCUUAUGACCUGGGCUACACACGUGCUACAAUGGAUGGUACAAAGGGCUGCAAGACCGCGAGGUCAAGCCAAUCCCAUAAAACCAUUCUCAGUUCGGAUUGUAGGCUGCAACUCGCCUACAUGAAGCUGGAAUCGCUAGUAAUCGCGGAUCAGCAUGCCGCGGUGAAUACGUUCCCGGGCCUUGUACACACCGCCCGUCACACCACGAGAGUUUGUAAC
RNAcentral lists this ribosomal RNA (480 nucleotides) under Priestia aryabhattai. RNAcentral describes it as "bacterial SSU rRNA". It matches the Rfam family "Bacterial small subunit ribosomal RNA", at positions 939 to 1418 of the family's 1533-position model. Lineage: Bacteria; Bacillati; Bacillota; Bacilli; Caryophanales; Bacillaceae. The record is from RNAcentral.